UGGGGAAUAUUGCACAAUGGGCGAAAGCCUGAUGCAGCGACGCCGCGUGGGGGAUGACGGUCUUCGGAUUGUAAACCCCUUUCAGUAGGGACGAAGCGCAAGUGACGGUACCUGCAGAAGAAGCACCGGCUAACUACGUGCCAGCAGCCGCGGUAAUACGUAGGGUGCGAGCGUUGUCCGGAAUUACUGGGCGUAAAGAGCUCGUAGGCGGUUUGUCACGUCGUCUGUGAAAUCCCUCGGCUUAACCGGGGGCGUGCAGGCGAUACGGGCAGACUUGAGUACUACAGGGGAGACUGGAAUUCCUGGUGUAGCGGUGAAAUGCGCAGAUAUCAGGAGGAACACCGGUGGCGAAGGCGGGUCUCUGGGUAGUAACUGACGCUGAGGAGCGAAAGCAUGGGUAGCGAACAGGAUUAGAUACCCUGGUAGUCCAUGCCGUAAACGGUGGGCGCUAGGUGUGGGGUCCUUCCACGGACUCCGUGCCGUAGCUAAC
This 490-nucleotide ribosomal RNA is filed under the name uncultured bacterium. RNAcentral's name for it is "bacterial SSU rRNA". It matches the Rfam family "Bacterial small subunit ribosomal RNA", at positions 355 to 856 of the family's 1533-position model. The record is from RNAcentral.